RNAcentral lists this ribosomal RNA (253 nucleotides) under uncultured bacterium. Its description in RNAcentral is "partial 16S ribosomal RNA". It matches the Rfam family "Bacterial small subunit ribosomal RNA", at positions 524 to 776 of the family's 1533-position model. The record is from RNAcentral.
GACAGAGGGUGCAAACGUUGUUCGGAAUUACUGGGCGUAAAGCGUGUGUAGGCGGCCGCGCAAGUCGGAUGUGAAAUCCCCGGGCUCAACCCGGGAAGGGCACCCGAAACUGCACGGCUUGAGUACCGGAGAGGUUGGUGGAAUUCUCGGUGUAGAGGUGAAAUUCGUAGAUAUUCGGAAGAACACCAGUGGCGAAGGCGACUCACUGGACACGUAUUGACGCUGAGGUGCGAAAGCGUGGGGAGCAAACAGG